UACGUAGGGUGCGAGCGUUAAUCGGAAUUACUGGGCGUAAAGCGUGCGCAGGCGGUUUUGUAAGCCAGAUGUGAAAUCCCCGGGCUUAACCUGGGAAUGGCAUUUGGGACUGCAAGGCUCGAGUGCGGCAGAGGAGACUGGAAUUCCUGGUGUAGCAGUGAAAUGCGUAGAUAUCAGGAGGAACACCGAUGGCGAAGGCAGGUCUCUGGGCUCACACUGACGCUCAUGCACGAAAGCGUGGGGAGCAAACAGG
This 253-nucleotide ribosomal RNA is filed under the name uncultured bacterium. RNAcentral's name for it is "partial 16S ribosomal RNA". It matches the Rfam family "Bacterial small subunit ribosomal RNA", at positions 524 to 776 of the family's 1533-position model. The record is from RNAcentral.